Molecule: ribosomal RNA, 535 nt
Filed under: Pseudocercospora sp. PH8031A1
Lineage: Eukaryota; Fungi; Ascomycota; Dothideomycetes; Mycosphaerellales; Mycosphaerellaceae
Description: eukaryotic LSU rRNA
Rfam family: 5.8S ribosomal RNA (bases 172-325)
Source: RNAcentral
GAACCUGCGGAGGGAUCAUUACUGAGUGAGGGCUCACGCCCGACCUCCAACCCUUUGUGAACCAAACUUGUUGCUUCGGGGGCGACCCUGCCGACGACUCCGUCGCCGGGCGCCCCCGGAGGUCUUCUAAACACUGCAUCUUUGCGUCGGAGUUUAAAACAAAUUAAACAAAACUUUCAACAACGGAUCUCUUGGUUCUGGCAUCGAUGAAGAACGCAGCGAAAUGCGAUAAGUAAUGUGAAUUGCAGAAUUCAGUGAAUCAUCGAAUCUUUGAACGCACAUUGCGCCCUUUGGUAUUCCGAAGGGCAUGCCUGUUCGAGCGUCAUUUCACCACUCAAGCCUGGCUUGGUAUUGGGCGUCGCGGUGUUCCGCGCGCCUUAAAGUCUUCCGGCUGAGCUGUCCGUCUCUAAGCGUUGUGGAUUUUUCAAUUCGCUUCGGAGUGCGGGCGGCCGCGGCCGUUAAAUCUUUAUUCAAAGGUUGACCUCGGAUCAGGUAGGGAUACCCGCUGAACUUAAGCAUAUCAAUAAGCGGAGGA